Molecule: ribosomal RNA, 497 nt
Filed under: uncultured bacterium
Lineage: Bacteria
Description: partial 16S ribosomal RNA
Rfam family: Bacterial small subunit ribosomal RNA
Source: RNAcentral
GAUGAACGCUGGCGGCGUGCCUAAUACAUGCAAGUCGAGCGAACAUAUUAGGAGCUUGCUUCUCUGACGUUAGCGGCGGACGGGUGAGUAACACGUGGAUAACCUACCUAUAAGACUGGGAUAACUUCGGGAAACCGGAGCUAAUACCGGAUAAUAUUUUCAACCGCAUGGUUCAAUAGUGAAAGACGGUUUUGCUGCCACUUAUAGAUGGAUCCGCGCCGCAUUAGCUAGUUGGUAAGGUAACGGCUUACCAAGGCAACGAUGCGUAGCCGACCUGAGAGGGUGUUGGCCCACCUUGGAAGGGAACCAGGGCCCAGACUCCUACGGAAGGAGGCGGUGGGGAAUCUUCCGCAAUGGGCAAAAGCCUGACGGGGCAACGCCGCGUGAGGGAUGAGGGUCUUCGGAUCGUAAAACUCUGUUAUUAGGGAGAAACAAAUGUGUAAGUACCUAUGCGCGUCUUGACGGUACCUGGUCAGAAAGCCACGGCUAACUACGUG